GGCCAGCAGCCGCGGUAAUACAGAGGUCCCAAGCGUUGUUCGGAUUUACUGGGCGUAAAGGGUGCGUAGGUGGCAUAUAUAGUCUGAUGUGAAAUCUUGAAGCUUAACUUCGAAACUGCAUUGGAAACUUAUGUGCUAGAGUAGUGUAGGGGAGACUGGAAUGCUCGGUGUAGCAGUGAAAUGCGUAGAUAUCGAGCGGAACACCAGUGGCGAAGGCGAGUCUCUGGACACUCACUGACACUGAGGCACGAAAGCCAAGGGAGCAAACGGGAUUAGAUACCCCGGUAGUCUUGGCUGUAAACGGUGCGCAUUUGCUGUGAGCGGAUUCAACCCUGCUCGUGGCGUAGCUAACGCGAUAAAUGCGCCGCCUGGGGAGUACGGUCGCAAGAUUAAAACUCAAAGGAAUUGACGGGGGCCCGCACA
Molecule: ribosomal RNA, 423 nt
Filed under: uncultured bacterium
Lineage: Bacteria
Description: bacterial SSU rRNA
Rfam family: Bacterial small subunit ribosomal RNA
Source: RNAcentral